AGUGAACGCUGGCGGUAGGCCUAACACAUGCAAGUCGAACGGCAGCACAGUAAGAGCUUGCUCUUACGGGUGGCGAGUGGCGGACGGGUGAGGAAUACAUCGGAAUCUACUUUUUCGUGGGGGAUAACGUAGGGAAACUUACGCUAAUACCGCAUACGACCUACGGGUGAAAGCAGGGGAUCUUCGGACCUUGCGCGAUUGAAUGAGCCGAUGUCGGAUUAGCUAGUUGGCGGGGUAAAGGCCCACCAAGGCGACGAUCCGUAGCUGGUCUGAGAGGAUGAUCAGCCACACUGGAACUGAGCCGCGGUCCAGACUCCUACGGGAGGCAGCAGUGGGGAAUAUUGGACAAUGGGCGCAAGCCUGAUCCAGCCAUACCGCGUGGGUGAAGAAGGCCUUCGGGUUGUAAAGCCCUUUUGUUGGGAAAGAAAAGCAGCAGGUUAAUACCCCGCUGUUCUGACGGUACCCAAAGAAUAAGCACCGGCUAACUUCGU
Molecule: ribosomal RNA, 491 nt
Filed under: uncultured bacterium
Lineage: Bacteria
Description: partial 16S ribosomal RNA
Rfam family: Bacterial small subunit ribosomal RNA
Source: RNAcentral